RNAcentral lists this transfer RNA (83 nucleotides) under Nitrospirota bacterium. Its description in RNAcentral is "Nitrospirae bacterium (sediment metagenome) tRNA-Leu". It matches the Rfam family "tRNA". From Rfam's summary of the family: Transfer RNA (tRNA) molecules are approximately 80 nucleotides in length. The record is from RNAcentral. Lineage: Bacteria; Pseudomonadati; Nitrospirota.
GCCGGUGUGGUGGAAUGGCAGACGCGACGGACUCAAAAUCCGUUGGGCUCCGGCCCGUGAGAGUUCAAGUCUCUCCACCGGCA